RNAcentral lists this ribosomal RNA (495 nucleotides) under uncultured bacterium. RNAcentral's name for it is "partial 16S ribosomal RNA". It matches the Rfam family "Bacterial small subunit ribosomal RNA", at positions 28 to 507 of the family's 1533-position model. The record is from RNAcentral.
GACGAACGCUGGCGGCGUGCCUAAUACAUGCCAGUAGAACGCUGAAGGAGGAGCUUGCUCUUCUGGAUGAGUUGCGAACGGGUGAGUAACGCGUAGGUAACCUGCCUGGUAGCGGGGGAUAACUAUUGGAAACGAUAGCUAAUACCGCAUAACAGUAGAUGUUGCAUGACAUUUACUUAAAAGGUGCAAUUGCAUCACUACCAGAUGGACCUGCGUUGUAUUAGCUAGUUGGUGGGGUAACGGCUCACCAAGGCGACGAUACAUAGCCGACCUGAGAGGGUGAUCGGCCACACUGGGACUGAGAAACGGCCCAGACUCCUACGGGAGGCAGCAGUAGGGAAUCUUCGGCAAUGGACGGAAGUCUGACCGAGCAACGCCGCGUGAGUGAAGAAGGUUUUCGGAUCGUAAAGCUCUGUUGUAAGAGAAGAACGAGUGUGAGAGUGGAAAGUUCACACUGUGACGGUAUCUUACCAGAAAGGGACGGCUAACUACGUG